UACAGAGGUCCCAAGCGUUGUUCGGAUUCACUGGGCGGAAAGGGUGCGUAGGCGGUCGGGUAAGUCUGAUGUGAAAUCUCCAAGCUCAACUUGGAAAUGGCAUCGGAUACUAUUCGGCUCGAGGAAUGGAGGGGAGACUGGAAUACUUGGUGUAGCAGUGAAAUGCGUAGAUAUCAAGUGGAACACCAGUGGCGAAGGCGAGUCUCUGGACAUUUCCUGACGCUGAGGCACGAAAGCCAGGGGAGCAAACGGG
This 253-nucleotide ribosomal RNA is filed under the name uncultured bacterium. RNAcentral's name for it is "partial 16S ribosomal RNA". It matches the Rfam family "Bacterial small subunit ribosomal RNA", at positions 524 to 776 of the family's 1533-position model. The record is from RNAcentral.